This 1003-nucleotide long non-coding RNA is filed under the name Lathyrus oleraceus (garden pea). RNAcentral's name for it is "Pisum sativum (pea) long non-coding RNA (PSAT_LNC039377)". The record is from RNAcentral. Lineage: Eukaryota; Viridiplantae; Streptophyta; Magnoliopsida; Fabales; Fabaceae.
UAAAUAUCAUCAUGAGAGUUCAGCCAGGUAUGACUCUAUCACUCUGACUUUGCGUAUGUUCUUUUGACACUUCACAGCAUGACAACACCCGCUGAGGCAAGUUGUUUGUUUAGCCCAGAGCCUUUCUAGCCAUCCCUAUUUGUAUAUUUACCCUUCGUGAACACGUUGAGCCUUAGCCUUUUUGUUCGUAGUAAACCCCAUAUUAACCAUUAAUCAUUCAUUUCUUCCAUUAAUCGACAUGAUUGUUGUAAGUUACAAAAUGUGCAAAAAAAGCUAAGUUUGAGGUGGUAAUCUUUAAAGAAAGGGCGAGUGCAUAAGAAGAGAUCUAAAAGUAAUGCAAAAAGAAGAGACGUGUGUAUGUCCUAAUAAAAAAAAAGAGAAAGAAAAAAAAAAGAGAAAUGCACUUCCGAGACUUAAGACUCUAACACCUGUAAAAUGCUCACAUAGAAUGAAUUAAAAAGAGUCAAAAGUGAAUAAACCCCCAGAGUUAUGAGUUAAGCACGAAAAAAAAAGAGAAAAUCAAACAACAUGAUUGCCGAGUUCAAAACCAUUUGUUAUCCAUUUCUGUGUCUAUACUACCGUACCCAAGCCCCGUUACAACUGAAAAGACCUCAUAAAGUGUGUGGAAUCUGUUGUUGUAGUGAAAUUAGAAUUUAUUCAAAUUUAAGAGUUUGGUAUUGCAUGCUGUGUUGUGAGUGUAAACACCCUAACCAUGAGAGAUGUUGUGAGUAUGUGAAAAAGCUUGUAGGUAACGAGGCAUCUGAUGUGGAAAUAUGGUGAACAGUUUGAGUCGGGAAAACCGGAAAAUUGAUUGGAAAGGAAGAACACAAGUUGUGAAGGACAAGGUUGCAUUGUGGAAAGUGAAUUCGUGGGUGACCUUUGUUUGGACUCAAUACAUCACUUGAGGACAAGCAAUUAGAAAAGUUUGGGGUUGUGAUCGGUCACCAUUUCCAUUGAAUUCCCACCUUUUAUCCGGCAUACUUUCAUCACUUUGGUAAGAUUU